AACGACUCUCGGCAACGGAUAUCUCGGCUCUCGCAUCGAUGAAGAACGUAGCGAAAUGCGAUACUUGGUGUGAACUGCAGAAUCCCGUGAACCAUCGAGUCUUUGAACGCAAGUUGCGCCCCAAGCCUUCUGGCCGAGGGCACGUCUGCCUGGGUGUCACAAAU
Molecule: ribosomal RNA, 164 nt
Filed under: Boechera divaricarpa
Lineage: Eukaryota; Viridiplantae; Streptophyta; Magnoliopsida; Brassicales; Brassicaceae
Description: 5.8S ribosomal RNA
Rfam family: 5.8S ribosomal RNA
About the family: 5.8S ribosomal RNA (5.8S rRNA) is a component of the large subunit of the eukaryotic ribosome. It is transcribed by RNA polymerase I as part of the 45S precursor that also contains 18S and 28S rRNA.
Source: RNAcentral